GAAUUACUGGGCGUAAAGCGCACGUAGGCGGACUUUUAAGUCAGAUGUGAAAUCCCAAGGCUCAACCUUGGAACUGCAUUUGAAACUGGGAGUCUAGAGAUCAGGAGAGGUUAGCGGAAUACCGAGUGUAGAGGUGAAAUUCGUAGAUAUUCGGAGGAACACCAGUGGCGAAGGCGGCUCACUGGCUCGAUACUGACGCUGAGGUGCGAAAGC
This 213-nucleotide ribosomal RNA is filed under the name Leptocylindrus danicus. RNAcentral describes it as "partial Bacterial small subunit ribosomal RNA". It matches the Rfam family "Bacterial small subunit ribosomal RNA", at positions 548 to 760 of the family's 1533-position model. The record is from RNAcentral. Lineage: Eukaryota; Bacillariophyta; Leptocylindrophyceae; Leptocylindrales; Leptocylindraceae.